Spodoptera litura is the source of this 3244-nucleotide RNA transcript. It is a transcript of the gene named regucalcin, with no coding region annotated. Lineage: Eukaryota; Metazoa; Arthropoda; Insecta; Lepidoptera; Noctuidae. The record is from RefSeq and is a predicted model, not a curated record.
GUACAAAUGUCAAUGUCAAAAAUAUCACACCAAAACCAACCAAAACACUGAAGUGUGGUCUUUUACCUGUUGUAAAAUAUAUAUAUUUAAGAUUUAAGUAAAAAUUUUUCUAUAAUGUCUUUAUUAGUACGUACCGACGUAACUGCUGUAAAGUUUUACAAGAAAUUCUUGUUAGCCGGUAUUGGAAACACUGUAAAUAUAUUUGACAAGGAAUCUACGCAGUUAUUACAGUGUUUAGUGGGUUUAAACGGUCAGAAAAUAUAUGGAUUUGUACCUUCGGAAUGUGGUACAAAUAUACUUGUGUUUGGUGGAAAACAGUUUACUGUAAUUACGUUAGUGAACUCUGAAGGUUCUAAUGAGGGUUCUGAACUAUUUUAUAGAGUAUUUAAGCCUUUAGUAUGUGAUGAUUGGCUGCAUUCUGCAGUUUGGGUGACUGAUGAUGUUGUGGCAUUGUUAACAGCGCACAAUGUGGUUCAGAAAUGGAACAUACUCAGUCAAACACUGAUAUCACAGCAGCCAAGCCACAAUAACUCCAUACUAUACAGUGGACUGCUGUUGGCAUUGAAAGAUGAUGUCCUGGUGAUGGCAGGGACGGUCUUCUCCGAAGUCAUCAUACACAGAGCUAGUAAGGAUGAGGCCUUACACCAUUUGAAAGGACAUAAGGGUGUAAUAUUCUCGAUAUCAUAUGAAUCACAUAGAAACACGAUAGUUACCACAUCAGAUGACAGGUCUGUAAGGAUAUGGGGUCCCAAUGUACCACCAGCACAUGCACACAAUACAGUGACAUACUGGGAAGGUAUAGAAAUAGUUUGUAAACAUGACGUCUACGGACAUUUAGCGAGAGUCAUGAGGAGUUGCAUAACACAUAAUCUAAUAGUGUCCGUAGGUGAAGACUCGGCCAUAUGUUACUGGGAUUAUGAUGGUAAAUUAUUAAAAAAGGCCCUCACACAUCAAAACGGAUGUAUAUGGUCUGUCGACAGUGAUGGUACCAGUUUAGUUACUGGUGGUGGGGACAGCGGAGUCAUUUUACAUCCCCUGACCAUAGCUACAGAUUACUGCCAAGAAAAUAUCAUUGAUGUAGGUGUAGCCACUCCCAAAAAGGUUUUGUUCACCGCCAGAAACAACUUAGUUAUUAUGGAUGAGGCUAAUUUAAUUUACUACGACGUUGUUAAUAAAAAUAAAACUGAACAUAAAUUAAAUCAUGAAUCUACUUACAAAUUGCUAGCUUUAUCGUCCUGUAAGCAACUGAUUGCUGUAGCAGAUAUGGCAGGCAAGCUGGAUGUGUUCAUAGAAAAAUGUAAGGAUGAGGCUUUUUUACUAAAUAUUGUUCAUACUAAAUUGCAAAUAGGAAAGAUUUUGUCCAUGCAAUGGGCGGGAAAUAGGCAUCUAGUACUUUGUUCUGGAGAUGGUCAUAUUACUGUAUUAGCUUCUAGUAACGCAAGUGUGGAAGUAUACGCCAAUUUUGUUCUUCCAAACUGCAAAGAAAGAUGGCUCACAGCUUCUGCAAUACAACUGGAGAACAAUAGAUUUAUUGUUGGAGAUAGAUGUGGUAACAUACAUGUUUUUAUCAAAGGCCAGAAUAACCCAGUGAAGACCUUCCAUAAGGUACACGGGAGAUAUGGACCAACAUCCAUUAGUGUUAGAAAUAAUAGAAUUAUUACUACUGGACGAGAUGGGACUAUCAAAUAUUUUAGUAUAAAUGGCGAUGUAGUAAAACAUAUGAGCAGCAAAGAUUUAGCUUUCGAAUGGGUCGAGAAAUUCCUGGAUAAAGAUGAAAAUAUUAUUUGUGGAUUCCAAGAAAGAGUUUUUGUUGUGUACAAUGUUAAUGAGAAUAGUAAAAUGUUAGAAGUGGCGUGUGGAGGUGGACAUAGGUCCUGGGAUGCAGUCAGAUACUUCAAGAAAGUAAAUGAAAAUUACGAAGAAUUCAUAAAACUGAUUUAUUUGAAAAACUCAGAUAUAAAUGUUGUAACAUUCCAACUGAGUAAAAUAGUUUCAAGGAAUGUUAUAAAUGGAUCACAUGCUAAAGAAAUUAAUUGUUUGAAAUCACAUAGAAUUGGUAAUGCCACAAUUUACAUUACUGGUGGAGAAGACACUACGCUAAGAAUAUCCAGUGUUGAUGCAGAAAGGAACUUUAAAGACGAAGUUAACUUUAAACACUUAUCUAGUGUUAGAACAUUAAAAACAUUCUCCAUAGAUGUGAACCAUUUCUUAGUUUUAUCAGCUGGAGGAAGAGCUCAGCUUUGCAUAAAAGAUAUAAAAUUAACUCACAAAGAUAACAAUAUCAAGGUAACAUCAGAAGAAUUAGUAGAUUACUUAAUAAGAGGUACAGAUAAGGAGAGGAAAGGGAAUCAGACAUGGAGGAACUGUUCCAUUGACUUUGACCCUGAAAUGAGAAUCAUGGACAUAGAUGUGAUAAGUGAUAAAGAUGGACUUAUCAUCUUUGCAGGUUGCUCCGAUUCUUAUGUAAGAGUGUUCUCCUUCAAAGAAGAUAGUAAAAAGGUAGAGAUUAUCAAAGAAGCGAAGUAUCACAAAACUUGUGUUUUGAAAACUAAAUGUAUCAAAAUUCUUAACAGAAACAUCCUGAUCACAUGUACGACUAGGAGCGAAGUUACAUUUUGGAAUGUAACAGACAUUACAAAUGACAAUUUUGAACCAUUUUUCAGUACAAAAACUAAUAAAUCAGGUAUAAACAGCAUAGCUACCGUCAAUGUGUCUGAAGAUAAGAUUCUUGUAGCCACUGGGGGCGACGAUAACGCUGUCCACACUAUAAUAGUAGAAAUCAAUGUCCAGGGUAACAUGACAUCUGCAAGAGUACUACAUACUUGGAAAAGUGCAAACAACCACAGCUCACAGAUAACUGGGCUUAUUUUAGUAGAUGACUAUCUAGUUUCUACGUCAAUAGAUCAGAGGAUAACAUUGUUUCGAUGGAAGAUAUAUGAAGAGGGAAUAGAUUGCAAGUUUUUGUCGCAAUCUCAUACAAUGGUCAGCGAUGUUCAAGGGAUGGACCUUCUGGAUCACAAUUGCGAAUCUAUAACAGUAUGUGUGUUUGGAAAAGGGAUGGAAGUCAUAGCUGUUCCUAAGAUCCCAGAGUAACCCUACCUGGAUGAGGAAACCGCCAGGAGCUGAAACUACACGAGAAGGAGUGAUGGAACAGUCAGAUGGCGCCCGAGUUGAAAGCAGUGACAGAUCCAGUGACGCUGGGUGAGGGUCCACACUGGGACCACGAGGAGCAGGCCCUCUACUU